AGCAGCCGCGGUAAUUCCAGCUCCAAUAGCGUAUAUUAAAGUUGUUGCAGUUAAAAAGCUCGUAGUUGAAUUUCGGGGUUAAUAAGUUGGUCGUACCUAUGGUAUGUACUGGCUUUAUUGAUUCCUACCUCUUGACGAACUGUGAUGCCAUUAAUUUGGUGUUGCAAGGAAUCAGGACUGUUACCUUGAAAAAAUUAGAGUGUUUAAAGCAGGCUUACGCUUGAAUACAUUAGCAUGGAAUAAUGAAAUAGGACGUUUGAACCUAUUUUGUUGGUUUCUAGGAUCGACGUAAUGAUUAAUAGGGAUAGUUGGGGGCAUUAGUAUUCAAUUGUCAGAGGUGAAAUUCUUGGAUUUAUUGAAGACUAACCACUGCGAAAGCAUUUGCCAAGGAUGUUUUCAUUAAUCAAGAACGAAAGUUAGGGGAUCGAAGACGAUCAGAUACCGUCGUAGUCUUAACCAUAAACUAUGCCGACUAGGGAUCGGAUGAUGUUAAUUUUUAAUGUACUCAUUCGGCGCCUUA
RNAcentral lists this ribosomal RNA (520 nucleotides) under uncultured Glomus. RNAcentral describes it as "SSU rRNA". It matches the Rfam family "Eukaryotic small subunit ribosomal RNA", at positions 569 to 1090 of the family's 1831-position model. The record is from RNAcentral. Lineage: Eukaryota; Fungi; Glomeromycota; Glomeromycetes; Glomerales; Glomeraceae.